GUCAACGUUCAAACCAUGUUUUAAAAUACCAGUUCUCGUCCGAUCACUGAAGUCAAGGAACAUUGGGCAUGGUUAGUACUUGGAUGGGUGACCGCCUGGGAACACCAUGUAACGUUGACA
RNAcentral lists this ribosomal RNA (120 nucleotides) under Cyphomyrmex costatus. Lineage: Eukaryota; Metazoa; Arthropoda; Insecta; Hymenoptera; Formicidae. The record is from RNAcentral.